RNAcentral lists this ribosomal RNA (491 nucleotides) under uncultured bacterium. RNAcentral's name for it is "partial 16S ribosomal RNA". It matches the Rfam family "Bacterial small subunit ribosomal RNA", at positions 29 to 506 of the family's 1533-position model. The record is from RNAcentral.
AGUGAACGCUGGCGGUAGGCCUAACACAUGCAAGUCGAACGGCAGCACAGUAAGAGCUUGCUCUUACGGGUGGCGAGUGGCGGACGGGUGAGGAAUACAUCGGAAUCUACUUUUUCGUGGGGGAUAACGUAGGGAAACUUACGCUAAUACCGCAUACGACCUACGGGUGAAAGCAGGGGAUCUUCGGACCUUGCGCGAUUGAAUGAGCCGAUGUCGGAUUAGCUAGUUGGCGGGGUAAAGGCCCACCAAGGCGACGAUCGGUAGCUGGACUGAGAGGAUGAGCAGCAACAAUGAAACUGAAAACGGUCCAAGCCCCAGCCGGGAGGCAGAAGUGGGGAAUAUUGGAAAAGGGGCGCAAGCUUGACCGAGCCAUCCCGGGGGGGUGAAGAAGGCUUCCGAGUGGUAAAGCCCUUUUGUGGGGAAAGAAAAGCAGCAGAUUAAUACCCCGCUGCUCGAACGGUCCCCAAAGAAUAAGCACGGCCUAACUUCGU